UACGUAGGGGGCAAGCGUUGUCCGGAUUUAUUGGGCGUAAAGAGCGUGUAGGCGGCCUUACAGGUCAGCUGUGAAAACUCGAGGCUCAACCUCGAGACGUCGGUUGAAACCGUAAGGCUAGAGUCCGGAAGAGGAGAAUGGAAUUCCCGGUGUAGCGGUGAAAUGCGCAGAUAUCGGGAAGAACACCCGUGGCGAAGGCGGUUCUCUGGGACGGUACUGACGCUGAGACGCGAAAGCGUGGGGAGCGAACAGG
This 253-nucleotide ribosomal RNA is filed under the name uncultured bacterium. RNAcentral's name for it is "partial 16S ribosomal RNA". It matches the Rfam family "Bacterial small subunit ribosomal RNA", at positions 524 to 776 of the family's 1533-position model. The record is from RNAcentral.